AGCAGCCGCGGUAAUUCCAGCUCCAAUAGCGUAUAUUAAAGUUGUUGCAGUUAAAAAGCUCGUAGUUGAAUUUCGGGGUCAGUAGGUUGGUCGUGCCACUGGUAUGCACUGGUCUCACUGAUUCCUCCUUCCUGAUGAGCCGUAAUGCCAUUAAUUUGGUGUUGCGGGGAAUCUGGACUGUUACUUUGAAAAAUUAGAGUGUUUAAAGCAGGCUAACGCUUGAAUACAUUAGCAUGGAAUAAUGAAAUAGGACGAUCGAUCCUAUUUGUUGGUUCUAAGAUUGACGUAAUGAUUAAUAGGGAUAGUUGGGGGCAUUAGUAUUCAAUUGUCAGAGGUGAAAUUCUUGGAUUUA
RNAcentral lists this ribosomal RNA (352 nucleotides) under uncultured Glomus. Its description in RNAcentral is "SSU rRNA". It matches the Rfam family "Eukaryotic small subunit ribosomal RNA", at positions 569 to 928 of the family's 1831-position model. The record is from RNAcentral. Lineage: Eukaryota; Fungi; Glomeromycota; Glomeromycetes; Glomerales; Glomeraceae.